AAGUCGUAACAAGGUUUCCGUAGGUGAACCUGCGGAAGGAUCAUUUCCGAAAAAUACCAUACCAACAUACACUGUGAAUAGUAUUUCUUUUACUCUCCCGUUUAGCAUAACUUCUGGUCGAUUUUUUUGCUUCCUGUUGUUGUCUUAAGUGUCUCGCACACUGAUUCAACUUCAGUUUGCAGUUAAUAUUAUGCCAGUGACUUUGCUUAUUUUAUAACGGGAGAGGCCUUGUUGAACUACCUUAUUGUGAAGGUUGAUAGUCAUAAUUUGUUUUGAUAUACAAAAAACAAUUUGAUUGAUAACUUUUAACGGUGGAUCUCUUGGCUCGU
RNAcentral lists this unclassified non-coding RNA (329 nucleotides) under fungal sp. Its description in RNAcentral is "partial internal transcribed spacer region". The stretch from base 1 to 46 matches the Rfam family "Eukaryotic small subunit ribosomal RNA", at positions 1786 to 1831 of the family's 1831-position model. The record is from RNAcentral. Lineage: Eukaryota; Fungi.